This 242-nucleotide ribosomal RNA is filed under the name uncultured bacterium. RNAcentral describes it as "partial 16S ribosomal RNA". It matches the Rfam family "Bacterial small subunit ribosomal RNA", at positions 528 to 769 of the family's 1533-position model. The record is from RNAcentral.
GAAGGUCCGGGCGUUAUCCGGAUUUAUUGGGUUUAAAGGGAGCGUAGGCCGCCGAUUAAGCGUGUUGUGAAAUGCCGUGGCUCAACCAUGGCACUGCAGCGCGAACUGGUUGGCUUGAGUGCGCGGAAGGCAGGCGGAAUUCGUGGUGUAGCGGUGAAAUGCUUAGAUAUGACGAAGAACUCCGAUUGCGAAGGCAGCCUUCUGGGGUGUUACUGACGCUGAGGCUCGAAAGCGCGGGUAUC